UAGUGGCAGACGGGUGAGUAAUGUAUAGGAAUCUACCUAGUAGUACGGAAUAAUUGUUGGAAACGGCAACUAAUACCGUAUACGCCCUAGGGGGGAAAAAUUUAUUGCUAUUAGAUGAGCCUAUAUUAGAUUAGCUAGUUGGUGGAGUAAUAGCCUACCAAGGCAAUGAUCUAUAGCUGAUCUGAGAGGAUGAUCAGCCACACUGGAACUGAGAUACGGUCCAGACUCCUACGGGAGGCAGCAGUGGGGAAUAUUGGACAAUGGGCGAAAGCCUGAUCCAGCCAUGCCGCAUGAGUGAAGAAGGCCUUUGGGUUGUAAAGCUCUUUUAGUGAGGAAGAUAAUGACGGUACUCACAGAAGAAGUCCUGGCUAACUCCGUGCCAGCAGCCGCGGUAAUACGGAGAGGGCUAGCGUUAUUCGGAAUUAUUGGGCGUAAAGGGCGCGUAGGCUGGUUAAUAAGUUAAAAGUGAAAUCCCGAGGCUUAACCUUGGAAUUGCUUUUAAAACUAUUAAUCUAGAGAUUGAAAGAGGAUAGAGGAAUUCCUGAUGUAGAGGUAAAAUUCGUAAAUAUUAGGAGGAACACCAGUGGCGAAGGCGUCUAUCUGGUUCAAAUCUGACGCUGAAGCGCGAAGGCGUGGGGAGCAAACAGGAUUAGAUACCCUGGUAGUCCACGCUGUAAACGAUGAAUGUUAAAUAUGGGAAGCUUACUUUCUGUAUUACAGCUAACGCGUUAAACAUUCCGCCUGGGGACUACGGUCGCAAGAUUAAAACUCAAAGGAAUUGACGGGGACCCGCACAAGCGGUGGAGCAUGUGGUUUAAUUCGAUGCAACGCGAAGAACCUUACCACUCCUUG
RNAcentral lists this ribosomal RNA (852 nucleotides) under Wolbachia endosymbiont of Macrolophus pygmaeus. RNAcentral's name for it is "bacterial SSU rRNA". It matches the Rfam family "Bacterial small subunit ribosomal RNA", at positions 93 to 983 of the family's 1533-position model. Lineage: Bacteria; Pseudomonadati; Pseudomonadota; Alphaproteobacteria; Rickettsiales; Anaplasmataceae. The record is from RNAcentral.